GGGGGUGACCUGGCUUCGACGUGGGUUGCGAAACCUGAAGUGCAUGCCGAGAAUGAGAUCUCUCGUAAAACAGGCUCAACUAAACACAAAUGCAAACGAUGAAAACUUUGCUGGUGCUAUCGCUGCGUAAGCAACAAUAGUUACCACAGCGCGCUGCCAUAAAACCAGCGUCCCGUUGACCGAGCCUGCUCGGCGGUAUCGAAUCAACGGUCAACUACGACGAGCUAGCAAUUUGAUUUGUCUCGAAUCAAGUUGCGAAAUUUAGAGACUCGCUGUUAACCAUCCUGCCUGUCGGAGGGGAAACAGUCAAACUCAAAUGACAACGCUACGCAUGUAGAUCUGAUGGCAGAGAAUUUGCGGACGCGGGUUCGAUUCCCGCCGCCUCCACCA
RNAcentral lists this transfer-messenger RNA (390 nucleotides) under Legionellaceae. RNAcentral's name for it is "GCA-2863045 sp002863045 X1 Standard tmRNA". It matches the Rfam family "transfer-messenger RNA". Rfam says of the family: Bacterial tmRNA, also known as 10Sa RNA or SsrA, is named for its dual tRNA and mRNA-like properties. RNAcentral also lists the same sequence under 1 other name. Lineage: Bacteria; Pseudomonadati; Pseudomonadota; Gammaproteobacteria; Legionellales. The record is from RNAcentral.